GGGUUGUGGCUCAGUGGUAGAGUGCUUGUCCUAGCAUGUGUGAGGCACUGGGUUCAAUCCUCAGAACACA
Molecule: transfer RNA, 70 nt
Filed under: Marmota monax (woodchuck)
Lineage: Eukaryota; Metazoa; Chordata; Mammalia; Rodentia; Sciuridae
Description: tRNA.Ala
Source: RNAcentral